AGGGUAGUGGUCCAGUCCGGUCUAGGGCGCUUGCUUUGGGAGCAAGAGAUCGCGGGUUCGAAUCCCGCUUACCCUA
This 76-nucleotide transfer RNA is filed under the name Caudoviricetes sp. RNAcentral describes it as "tRNA-Pro". It matches the Rfam family "tRNA". From Rfam's summary of the family: Transfer RNA (tRNA) molecules are approximately 80 nucleotides in length. Their secondary structure includes four short double-helical elements and three loops (D, anti-codon, and T loops). Further hydrogen bonds mediate the characteristic L-shaped molecular structure. tRNAs have two regions of fundamental functional importance: the anti-codon, which is responsible for specific mRNA codon recognition, and the 3' end, to which the tRNAs corresponding amino acid is attached (by aminoacyl-tRNA synthetases). tRNAs cope with the degeneracy of the genetic code in two manners: having more than one tRNA (with a specific anti-codon) for a particular amino acid; and 'wobble' base-pairing, i.e. permitting non-standard base-pairing at the 3rd anti-codon position. The record is from RNAcentral. Lineage: Duplodnaviria; Heunggongvirae; Uroviricota; Caudoviricetes.